Molecule: ribosomal RNA, 491 nt
Filed under: Bombina maxima (large-webbed bell toad)
Lineage: Eukaryota; Metazoa; Chordata; Amphibia; Anura; Bombinatoridae
Description: partial 16S ribosomal RNA
Source: RNAcentral
CUCGAGAAAAGAACAUAAACUCUGCCUUAAAACUUAAUCACUAUUAAAGUGCACCCUCAGUUUUAAGAGUUAUUCAAAUGAGGUACAGCUCAUUUGAAACAGGAAACAACCUGGAACCUAGGUAAAGAUUACACUUUUUAAGGUCUUGAUCAAGUUGGCCUAAAGCAGCCACCUUCAAGGAAAGCGUCACAGCUCAAAUGAAUUACCACACAAAUACCUAUAACCUUUUCUGACCCUACCAAAUUAUCGAGUCCAUUUAUAUUAAUAUAAAAAAGUUUAUGUUAGAACUAGUAACAAGAAACGAACUUCUCUUAAUGCAAGUGUACAUCAGAUUGAACUAAUCACUGAUAAUUACCGGCCCCUAACUGAGGGAAAUGUAAAAACCCUUCAAGAAAAUUCUACACAAUUAGCCGUUAAACUUACACAAGAGCAUCUCAAGAAAGAUUAAAAGGCGUGGAAGGAACUCGGCAAACAUGAACUUCGCCUGUUUA